This 535-nucleotide ribosomal RNA is filed under the name Staphylococcus simulans. RNAcentral's name for it is "bacterial SSU rRNA". It matches the Rfam family "Bacterial small subunit ribosomal RNA", at positions 1 to 522 of the family's 1533-position model. Lineage: Bacteria; Bacillati; Bacillota; Bacilli; Caryophanales; Staphylococcaceae. The record is from RNAcentral.
UGGAGAGUUUGAUCCUGGCUCAGGAUGAACGCUGGCGGCGUGCCUAAUACAUGCAAGUCGAGCGAACAGACGAGGAGCUUGCUCCUCUGACGUUAGCGGCGGACGGGUGAGUAACACGUGGGUAACCUACCUAUAAGACUGGGAUAACUCCGGGAAACCGGGGCUAAUACCGGAUAACACAUGAAACCGCAUGGUUUCAUGAUGAAAGACGGUUUUGCUGUCACUUAUAGAUGGACCCGCGGCGUAUUAGCUAGUUGGUAAGGUAACGGCUUACCAAGGCAACGAUACGUAGCCGACCUGAGAGGGUGAUCGGCCACACUGGAACUGAGACACGGUCCAGACUCCUACGGGAGGCAGCAGUAGGGAAUCUUCCGCAAUGGGCGAAAGCCUGACGGAGCAACGCCGCGUGAGUGAUGAAGGUCUUCGGAUCGUAAAACUCUGUUAUUAGGGAAGAACAAGGAUGUAAGUAACUGUGCAUCCCUUGACGGUACCUAAUCAGAAAGCCACGGCUAACUACGUGCCAGCAGCCGCGGUA